GACAGAGGGUGCAAACGUUGUUCGGAAUUACUGGGCGUAAAGCGCGUGUAGGCGGCUGCGCAAGUCGGAUGUGAAAUCCCAUGGCUCAACCAUGGAAGUGCACCCGAAACUGCGUAGCUAGAGUCUCGGAGAGGAAGGCGGAAUGCUUGGUGUAGAGGUGAAAUUCGUAGAUAUUAAGCGGAACACCGGUGGCGAAGGCGGCCUUCUGGACGAUGACUGACGCUGAGACGCGAAAGCGUGGGGAGCAAACAGG
RNAcentral lists this ribosomal RNA (253 nucleotides) under uncultured bacterium. RNAcentral's name for it is "partial 16S ribosomal RNA". It matches the Rfam family "Bacterial small subunit ribosomal RNA", at positions 524 to 776 of the family's 1533-position model. The record is from RNAcentral.